Molecule: unclassified non-coding RNA, 182 nt
Filed under: uncultured fungus
Lineage: Eukaryota; Fungi
Description: sequence contains ITS1
Source: RNAcentral
UUAACUUGUUUAAAAUUUGCUCAGAUACCACAUAAAUAUAGAAUUAAAAACCUCCGGCAGGCACCAAACGAAUGGCCACGAACCCGCCCUGGGCUCGCCUGCCGAAGCAACUUGAGUAAAUACACAAAGGGUUGGAGUUUUUACGCUCGCUAAUGAUCCCUCCGCUGGUUCACCAACGGAGA